GCAGUAGCCGCGGUAAUACGUAGGUGGCAAGCGUUGUCCGGAAUUAUUGGGCGUAAAGCGCGCGCAGGCGGCCUAUCCAGUCUGUCUUAAAAGUUCGGGGCUCAACCCCGUGAUGGGAUGGAAACUAGUAGGCUAGAGUAUCGGAGAGGAAAGCGGAAUUCCUAGUGUAGCGGUGAAAUGCGUAGAGAUGUGGAGGAACACCAGUGGCGAAGGCGACUCUCUGGUCCGUAACUGACGCUGAGGAGCGAAAGCGUGGGGAGCGAACAGGAUUAGAUACCCCCGUAGUCCCUGUCUCUUAUACA
Molecule: ribosomal RNA, 302 nt
Filed under: uncultured bacterium
Lineage: Bacteria
Description: partial 16S ribosomal RNA
Rfam family: Bacterial small subunit ribosomal RNA
Source: RNAcentral